Long non-coding RNA from Saccostrea echinata, 1621 nucleotides. RefSeq lists it as uncharacterized. NCBI's taxonomy places the organism in Eukaryota, Metazoa, Mollusca, Bivalvia, Ostreida, Ostreidae. The record is from RefSeq and is a predicted model, not a curated record. The transcript has 3 exons.
UACUGAGCUGGAGUUUUGCAUACUCUGCUAACAGUAAUAAUGGAGGGAAUGACUAUGUCGACCUAAAAACCUCUCCUUUGACGGUAAAUGGUCAACUUGGAUUCCAGCAGAGGGUGAGAGUGCCACCAUCAAUGAUUUGGGAGGAGAAUCAAACUGAAGACAAAGGAUGAAGCACUCAGAAAUGGACCUAUAACUUGUGCAUAAAGUCCAGUAGCAGGUUGGCAAUAGUAGACAGACUUUUGCCUUAGGCCAUUGCUCAUUUGGUUAAGCUGGCAGUGCAGGAAUUCAUCUCAGGAUCAUGUGCUUUGUUAGGUGAUGAGGAGUUCCUUUCAUACAUUCAGAUUAUUGCCAAUCUAUAUCAGAUUUCCCUAUCCUGACAUUUGCAGUCCAGAGAGAACUUAAUUAGUUAAUGUUUACAUUUUAAAAGCAUGUUUGAAGUACUGCUAAUAUUUAGCAUUCAUUUGUUUUAGCUCACCUGAACCAAAGGGUGAAGUGAGCCUUUCUGAUUGAAAUUUGUCCUUUGUUGUCAAUGUAAACUUUUCACAUAUUUGAACUUUUUUCCAAAACAUCAAUUUUCAACCAAACUUGGCACAAGGCAUCCUUGAGUAAAGGAAAUUAAGUUUCUUCAAUUAGAGGACUAUACCUUCUUGGAAGCAGCGAUAAUCAAGAAAAAGCAAAAAUUCAGGGAGAGGGGUGGUCUUGAGACAUGCUCUCCUCAUCAUAUAGUGAAAACGCAUUAAAUUUUUGAAAAUCUUAUUCUCUCUUCUGUAGGCAUUUGGCAGGCAAACCAAUUGAAAAGUUGUAAUGAGCAAAGGUGUUGUUACCACAUAUGUAAAUCAUAACCACAGGGUCAGGGUUUCUGAUGCUGGGGAAAUGCACAAUUGAUUAUGUAAGGUAUAUUCACUCUACUUUGAGAGAAGUUAGUCCCCUUUGAUUAUUCAACUACGAUAAUGAAAAAACUUGGGUGUCCACUAAGGUCCUUCAGCUUUUUGCUUUGUCAAAUUAUGGAUCCUUGGAUAAGGUUGAGGCUAAAAUAGUGUAUGAAAUGAAAUAACAUCUUUAAAACAUUCUUUUCUACAAUAAGGUCAAUUUAGUUACAUGUAUAUUGAUAAUGUAUGUAUCCAGUAAGUACAUUGUAGUUUGAUAAUGAAGUGUUUCCAUUUUGAGUGAAUUUAAAUUUAGUUUAAUUAUAAUUCCUUGGGGCCAAGGUAGGGUCACCAUAUUGGAUCAAAUUUUUUUAUGGAAAUAACGAGGGAUUAUUUUAAAAAACGUUCUUCAGAAGAACAGGGCUAAUACAACUUAGUGAGAGUUAUGGCCCUUGGGCCUCCUUUUUUCCCUUUUUAUUUUGGUUUGUUAUUUUAGCACUUUUGGUGCAUGCAUAAAGGUUCUUUAUUGAAAAAAAAAUUGAUUUUUAUUUUUUUAAACUAAUUCCCAAAUGAUGAAGCCCAGACAGUACUGUUGAAAAAGUUACCUGUAUAAUGUAGUUUAACCUGCUUCAUUAGAUGUGAAUUCAAAAAAAAAAAAUGUACAUAAAUUUACAUAAUUAUUUAAUUAUUAAUUUACAUAAUUAUUAUCAAUAUCUUUCGAAAGAUUCUGAUCCAUUUUUUUACUUCAUCCAAUA